AUUGAACGCUGGCGGAAUGCUUUACGCAUGCAAGUCGAACGGCAGCACGGACUUCGGUCUGGUGGCGAGUGGCGGACGGGUGAGUAAUGUGUCGGAACGUGCCCAGUCGUGGGGGAUAACGUAGUGAAAAUUACGCUAAUACCGCAUACGAUCUAUGGAUGAAAGCGGGGGAUCGCAAGACCACGCGCGAUUGGAGCGGCCGAUAUCAGAUUAGGUAGUUGGUGGGGUAAAGGCCCACCAAGCCAACGAUCUGUAGCUGGUCUGAGAGGACGACCAGCCACACUGGAACUGAGACACGGUCCAGACUCCUACGGGAGGCAGCAGUGGGGAAUUUUGGACAAUGGGCGAAAGCCUGAUCCAGCCAUUCCGCGUGCAGGAUGAAGGCCCUCGGGUUGUAAACUGCUUUUGUACAGAACGAAAAGGUUUCUACUAAUACUAGGAGCUCAUGACGGUACUGUAAGAAUAAGCACCGGCUAACUACGUGCCAGCCGCCGCCGUAA
This 500-nucleotide ribosomal RNA is filed under the name uncultured bacterium. Its description in RNAcentral is "partial 16S ribosomal RNA". It matches the Rfam family "Bacterial small subunit ribosomal RNA", at positions 30 to 523 of the family's 1533-position model. The record is from RNAcentral.